CCUACGGGUGGCAGCAGUCGAGAAUUUUUCACAAUGGGCGCAAGCCUGAUGGAGCGACGCCGCGUGGGGGAUGAAGGGCUUCGGCUCGUAAACCCCUGUCAGUCGCGAACAAGGUGCACUCAAUAAUACUGGGUGCAUUGAUAGUAGUGACAGAGGAAGGGACGGCUAACUCUGUGCCAGCAGCCGCGGUAAUACAGAGGUCCCGAGCGUUGUUCGGAUUCACUGGGCGUAAAGGGUGCGUAGGUGGCUUUGCAAGUCUGAUGUGAAAUCUCCGGGCCCAACCCGGAAACGGCAUUAGAAACUGUGAGGCUGGAGGCUUGGAGGGGGAACUGGAAUUCUCGGUGUAGCAGUGAAAUGCGUAGAGAUCGAGAGGAACACCAGUGGCGAAGGCGAGUUCCUGGACAAGACCUGACACUGAGGCACGAAAGCCGGGGGAGCAA
This 440-nucleotide ribosomal RNA is filed under the name uncultured bacterium. Its description in RNAcentral is "bacterial SSU rRNA". It matches the Rfam family "Bacterial small subunit ribosomal RNA", at positions 338 to 771 of the family's 1533-position model. The record is from RNAcentral.